UUGUGUUGUUUAAGAGCUCUUUUAAAAUGUUGAAAUUUUUCUCAAAGUCUGCACAAACAAUUUUGUCAUUAUCCAUUGGAUCUAUAGAAGACCAAUCGGUCUGAAUUUUAUUCUGAUUAAACAUACACAAGGAAGUUAAAUCGGUUUGCUUAUAUAACGAAUUUGAAGCUGAAGAGCAUGUCUCGGAAGCACUAUCUCCAAAAUAUGUGGAAGAAUCAGUAUCGGAAUCGCACUUUAAAGAAUAGCGAUCGCUUCCACUUUGCUCAUUAAAAUAAAAUCUCUUAGAGCAAGUUUGGUCAUCAAGGUGAGAUUCGAAAUUUAGUUGCUUGUUUACAUUUUCGGAGUAGUUAAUGUCAAUAGCGUGUUUCUCACAAAACGAGACAGAACCCAGCGUUUGGGAAUUAUGUACAUUUUGCUUUCCUAGAACUGAAGAAGAUCUAUUGGAAAAGAAAAUAUAAUGGAGCAACUGCUUGAAUUUAUGGGUACGGGUGUUUCGAACGCUAGAUGAAUUUUCAGAAGAGCUUAAAAAAUGUGUCAGUUUGCACUGAACUUCACUCAGUCUGUUAGUGUUUUCGUUACUGAAGAAUUCCAAAGAAGGGGUAGCGGAGGUCAAGGUGCGAUAGGUAUGUACACGUUCCUUCCUCACUUGUGUAGUUGGAUAAUCAACGAAAGUGUUUUUACAGAUCAUAGUGGGCAAAAUUAUUGAGUCCGAAAAAAAAUAAUGAAUAAAAGUAGAUCCGACAAAAAGCUGGCAAAAAGAGUUAACAAAAAUAUUCCCACUUUGUUUUAUUAGAUUAUGUGUAUGAAAAAAUAAUGCAGAAACCUCAAGGAUAUGUAUAGAACUGUAUCACCAAAAGAAUCAUAUAAUAGUCAUGCUUUAAGCCUCUUCAGUCUCUUAAAAUAGACCUCUUUCUUCAAUCAAGCGAAGAACAGUAAUUUUAGCGU
This is a non-coding RNA of Schizosaccharomyces pombe (fission yeast), 945 nucleotides long. Lineage: Eukaryota; Fungi; Ascomycota; Schizosaccharomycetes; Schizosaccharomycetales; Schizosaccharomycetaceae. The record is from the annotation of a GenBank genome assembly.